AUUGAAUGCUGGCGGCAUGCUUUACACAUGCAAGUCGAACGGCAGCGGGGAGGAGCUUGCUUCUCUGCCGGCGAGUGGCGAACGGGUGAGUAAUACAUCGGAACGUGUCGAGAAGAGGGGGAUAACCACCCGAAAGGGUGGCUAAUACCCCAUAAAUUCUGAGGAAGAAAGCUGGGGACCUAGGAAUAGGCCUAGCGCUUUUUGAGCGGCCGAUGUCGGAUUAGCUAGUUGGUGAGGUAAAGGCUCACCAAGGCGAAGAUCUGUAGCGGGUCUGAGAGGAUGAUCCGCCACACUGGGACUGAGACACGGCCCAGACUCCUACGGGAGGCAGCAGUGGGGAAUUUUGGACAAUGGGGGCAACCCUGAUCCAGCCAUGCCGCGUGUAUGAAGAAGGCCUUAGGGUUGUAAAGUACUUUUGUUAGGGAAGAAAAGUCAGCUGUGAAUAAUGGCUGAUACUGACGGUACCUAAAGAAUAAGCACCGGCUAACUACGUG
RNAcentral lists this ribosomal RNA (494 nucleotides) under uncultured bacterium. Its description in RNAcentral is "partial 16S ribosomal RNA". It matches the Rfam family "Bacterial small subunit ribosomal RNA", at positions 30 to 507 of the family's 1533-position model. The record is from RNAcentral.